GAUGAACGCUGGCGGCGUGCCUAAUACAUGCAAGUCGAGCGAACAGACGAGGAGCUUGCUCCUCUGACGUUAGCGGCGGACGGGUGAGUAACACGUGGAUAACCUACCUAUAAGACUGGGAUAACUUCGGGAAACCGGAGCUAAUACCGGAUAAUAUAUUGAACCGCAUGGUUCAAUAGUGAAAGACGGUUUUGCUGUCACUUAUAGAUGGAUCCGCGCCGCAUUAGCUAGUUGGUAAGGUAACGGCUUACCAAGGCAACGAUGCGUAGCCGACCUGAGAGGGUGAUCGGCCACACUGGAACUGAGACACGGUCCAGACUCCUACGGGAGGCAGCAGUAGGGAAUCUUCCGCAAUGGGCGAAAGCCUGACGGAGCAACGCCGCGUGAGUGAUGAAGGUCUUCGGACCGUAAAACUCUGUUAUUAGGGAAGAACAAAUGUGUAAGUAACUAUGCACGUCUUGACGGUACCUAAUCAGAAAGCCACGGCUAACUACGUG
RNAcentral lists this ribosomal RNA (497 nucleotides) under uncultured bacterium. RNAcentral describes it as "partial 16S ribosomal RNA". It matches the Rfam family "Bacterial small subunit ribosomal RNA", at positions 28 to 507 of the family's 1533-position model. The record is from RNAcentral.